AGCAGUAUGGUGUAUGGUUGCACACGGGGCUUCUCUGCUUUUUCGCUUUAAGCAUUUGAUGGGUAACCCCGAGAACCUUGUUCGAAUCAAGGUGCUGCUC
This is a non-coding RNA of Mycena polygramma, 100 nucleotides long. Lineage: Eukaryota; Fungi; Basidiomycota; Agaricomycetes; Agaricales; Mycenaceae. The record is from the annotation of a GenBank genome assembly.